This 460-nucleotide ribosomal RNA is filed under the name uncultured bacterium. RNAcentral describes it as "partial 16S ribosomal RNA". It matches the Rfam family "Bacterial small subunit ribosomal RNA", at positions 338 to 795 of the family's 1533-position model. The record is from RNAcentral.
CCUACGGGCGGCAGCAGUGAGGAAUAUUGGUCAAUGGACGAGAGUCUGAACCAGCCACGUAGCGUGAAGGAUGACUGCCCUAUGGGUUGUAAACUUCUUUUAUAUGGGAAUAAAAUGUUCCACGUGUGGGAUUUUGUCUGUACCAUAUGAAUAAGGAUCGGCUAACUCCGUGCCAGCAGCCGCGGUAAUACGGAGGAUCCGAGCGUUAUCCGGAUUUAUUGGGUUUAAGGGGAGAGUAGGUGGAUUGUUAAGUCAGUUGUGAAAGGUUGCGGCUCAACCGUAAAAGUGCAGUGGAAACUGGCAGUCUUGAGUACAGUAGAGGUGAGCGGAAUUCGUGGUGUAGCGGUGAAAUGCGUAGAGAUCACGAAGAACUCCGAUUGCGAAGGCAGCUCACUGGACUGCAACUGACACUGAGGCUCGAAAGUGUGGGUAUCAAACAGGAUUAGAUACCCGUGUAGUC